Molecule: ribosomal RNA, 479 nt
Filed under: uncultured bacterium
Lineage: Bacteria
Description: SSU rRNA
Rfam family: Bacterial small subunit ribosomal RNA
Source: RNAcentral
AGGACGAACGCUGGCGGCGUGCUUAACACAUGCAAGUCGAACGAUGAACCACUUCGGUGGGGAUUAGUGGCGAACGGGUGAGUAACACGUGGGCAAUCUGCCCUGCACUCUGGGACAAGCCCUGGAAACGGGGUCUAAUACCGGAUAAUACUCCCGCACUCAUGUGUGGGGGUUAAAAGCUCCGGCGGUGCAGGAUGAGCCCGCGGCCUAUCAGCUUGUUGGUGAGGUAAUGGCUCACCAAGGCGACGACGGGUAGCCGGCCUGAGAGGGCGACCGGCCACACUGGGACUGAGACACGGCCCAGACUCCUACGGGAGGCAGCAGUGGGGGAAUAUUGCACAAUGGGCGAAAGCCUGAUGCAGCGACGCCGCGUGAGGGAUGACGGCCUUCGGGUUGUAAACCUCUUUCAGCAGGGAAGAAGCGCAAGUGACGGUACCUGCAGAAGAAGCGCCGGCUAACUACGUGCCAGCAGCCGCGGU